This 76-nucleotide small RNA is filed under the name Novosphingobium sp. CECT 9465. RNAcentral describes it as "suhB". It matches the Rfam family "Makes More Granules Regulator RNA (mmgR)". From Rfam's summary of the family: SuhB later renamed mmgR (makes more granules regulator) was a putative non-coding RNA found multiple times in the Agrobacterium tumefaciens genome and related alpha-proteobacteria. Other non-coding RNAs uncovered in the same analysis include: speF, ybhL, metA, and serC. Lineage: Bacteria; Pseudomonadati; Pseudomonadota; Alphaproteobacteria; Sphingomonadales; Sphingomonadaceae. The record is from RNAcentral.
AGGACAGGCCUUUCAGGCAUCCUCUCCCAAACUUUCAAAGGGGCCGACGCAAGUUGGCCCCCUUUUUUUGCCGAUC